AGCAGCCGCGGUAAUUCCAGCUCCAAUAGCGUAUAUUAAAGUUGUUGCAGUUAAAAAGCUCGUAGUUGAAUUUCGGGGUUAGUAGGCUGGUCAUGCCACCGGUAUGUACUGGUCUUUCUGAUUCCUCCUUCCUGAUGAACUGUAAUACCAUUAAUUUGGUGUUGCAGGGAAUCUGGACUGUUACUUUGAAAAAAUUAGAGUGUUUAAAGCAGGCUAACGCUUGAAUACAUUAGCAUGGAAUAAUGAAAUAGGACGCUCGAUCCUAUUUUGUUGGUUUCUAGGAUUGACGUAAUGAUUAAUAGGGAUAGUUGGGGGCAUUAGUAUUCAAUUGUCAGAGGUGAAAUUCUUGGAUUUAUUGAAGACUAACUACUGCGAAAGCAUUUGCCAAGGAUGUUUUCAUUAAUCAAGAACGAAAGUUAGGGGAUCGAAGACGAUCAGAUACCGUCGUAGUCUUAACCAUAAACUAUGCCGACUAGGGAUCGGAUGAUGUUAAUUUUUAAUGACUCAUUCGGCGUCCG
This 518-nucleotide ribosomal RNA is filed under the name uncultured Glomus. RNAcentral's name for it is "SSU rRNA". It matches the Rfam family "Eukaryotic small subunit ribosomal RNA", at positions 569 to 1089 of the family's 1831-position model. The record is from RNAcentral. Lineage: Eukaryota; Fungi; Glomeromycota; Glomeromycetes; Glomerales; Glomeraceae.